GUUUCAAUUACGAAGCAACGCGAAGAACCUUACCAGGUCUUGACAUCCUCUGACAACCCUAGAGAUAGGGCUUUCCCUUCGGGGACAGAGUGACAGGUGGUGCAUGGUUGUCGUCAGCUCGUGUCGUGAGAUGUUGGGUUAAGUCCCGCAACGAGCGCAACCCUUGAUCUUAGUUGCCAGCAUUCAGUUGGGCACUCUAAGGUGACUGCCGGUGACAAACCGGAGGAAGGUGGGGAUGACGUCAAAUCAUCAUGCCCCUUAUGACCUGGGCUACACACGUGCUACAAUGGACAGAACAAAGGGCUGCGAGACCGCAGGUUUAGCCAAUCCCACAAAUCUGUUCUCAGUUCGGAUCGCAGUCUGCAACUCGACUGCGUGAAGCUGGAAUCGCUAGUAAUCGCGGAUCAGCAUGCCGCGGUGAAUACGUUCCCGGGCCUUGUACACACCGCCCCCGUCAAG
Molecule: ribosomal RNA, 459 nt
Filed under: Bacillus aerophilus
Lineage: Bacteria; Bacillati; Bacillota; Bacilli; Caryophanales; Bacillaceae
Description: bacterial SSU rRNA
Rfam family: Bacterial small subunit ribosomal RNA
Source: RNAcentral